GUUGAAACUUUGUCUGAGUUUCUACCAUAAAAUAUGCUCCAUCAAAUGGGUUUUGAGGACUCAUGUAUACCUCUCUUUGACUCUCAUCUUUAAGUAACAAAGGGUAGGAAUGGUCUAAUUUGGGUAGAGUAUUCAUCAUGAGAAUAUUGCCUCUUGCUUGGCGAUACACAUCAUUAAGUCCCAUAAGAAAUUGAAUAACUCUCUGGUCUUCCAAAAACUUAGUGACCUUUUUCUGUCCAUCACAUACAUAGUCACAGAUGAACCCUAAGUGUGUGCUCUGAGAAUCCAACUCAUCUCAUAGUCUCUUCAGAGUUGUGAAAUAAACCUGCUAUAGUGCUAUUUCCUUGAACUGACUUAGAUAUAUCCUUUUGCAAGUGAUAUAGUUUGGCCCCAUUAGAUUGGCCAAAUCUAUGCUCAAGACUGUUCCAUUGCAGACUUGGAGUAGAUGACAUUGUCUUCUAUUUCUUUAAACACUGAAUUCAGUAACCAUGUCACAAAUGAAGCCAAACUUAUUCUUGGCAGAUAGUGCAAUUAGGAUUGACCUCCUCCAACCUGAAAAACCUCUCCAAUUGAAUGGUGUAUUCACGAGAGUCAUACUAAGCAUCAGAGGAGUGAAGAAAAUAAGGAUGAUUAUAGUCAUGAUUGACUGUAGUAGAUGAAUAACCAAGGUUGAAUACCACUAGAGUAAAGAUCAGUGGAGUUUCUUCUGUUACUGCCAUGCUUAACUUUUAGAUUUAUGAGACUUUGAGAAGGAUCGAGCUAUAAAAGCUCUGAUACCAUGUAAAUUUUAACAAGAAAGAUGAAAAAGUUUUCUUUGUGUAUG
RNAcentral lists this long non-coding RNA (823 nucleotides) under Nicotiana benthamiana. RNAcentral's name for it is "long non-coding RNA (NBEN_LNC019700)". The record is from RNAcentral. Lineage: Eukaryota; Viridiplantae; Streptophyta; Magnoliopsida; Solanales; Solanaceae.